CGCACCCCACGGCGGAGGCUGCCGCCCCCUACCCCUCGAGACCCCUCAACGACACGCCGGUGGGAGACCCCCUUGUCCGCACUCCGGCCCUGUUCCUCUACUACAGCCCAGUGUCCGGGCUCGGCCCAACGUCCAGCUCCAGCCGAGAGCGUAUCCAGCCCUCAUCGGACCCUCUCUUCGCCCAUGGAUUCUGCAAGUGGCCGGGAUGCGAACAGGUCUUUAAGGAGUACGAACUCUUCCUGAAGCACCUUGAUGAUGUCCACAGUCUGGGAGAUACCAGCACAGCGCAGUGCAUGAUCCAGAG
Molecule: long non-coding RNA, 304 nt
Organism: Amblyraja radiata (thorny skate)
Lineage: Eukaryota; Metazoa; Chordata; Chondrichthyes; Rajiformes; Rajidae
Exons: 3
Source: RefSeq, a predicted model, not a curated record